GAUGAAGAACGCAGCGAAAUGCGAUACGUAAUGUGAAUUGCAGAAUUCAGUGAAUCAUCGAAUCUUUGAACGCACAUUGCACUCUCUGGUAUUCCGGAGAGUAUGCUUGUUUGAGUAUCAGUAAACACCUCAAAUCUCUUGUUUCUUGUGAAUAAGAGAAUUGGACUUGAGCAAUCCCAACUCUUGCAAAAGAGGCGGGUUGCUUGAAAUGCAGGUGCAGCUGGACAUUCUUCUGAGCUAAAAGCAUAUUUAUUUAGUCCCGUAAAACGGAUUAUUACUUUUGCUGCAGCUAACAUAAAGGUUGAAUGGCCAAUAUGGCUGACUGAUGCAGGAUUAACAGAGAAUUUAUUCUUUGUAAACUCGAUCUCAAAUCAAGUACGACUACCCGCUGAACUUAAGCAUAUCAAUAAGCGUAGGA
RNAcentral lists this unclassified non-coding RNA (418 nucleotides) under soil metagenome. RNAcentral describes it as "partial contains 5.8S ribosomal RNA, internal transcribed spacer 2, and large subunit ribosomal RNA". The stretch from base 1 to 120 matches the Rfam family "5.8S ribosomal RNA", at positions 35 to 154 of the family's 154-position model. The record is from RNAcentral.